AUUGAACGCUGGCGGCAUGCCUUACACAUGCAAGUCGAACGGCAGCACGGGAGCAAUCCUGGUGGCGAGUGGCGAGCGGGUGAGUAAAGUAUCGGAACGUGCCCAGUCGUGGGGGAUAACGUAGCGAAAGUUACGCUAAUACCGCAUACGAUCUAUGGAUGAAAGCGGGGGGUCGCAAGACCUCGCGCGAUUGGAGCGGCCGAUAUCAGAUUAGGUAGUUGGUGGGGUAAAGGCUCACCAAGCCGACGAUCUGUAGCUGGUCUGAGAGGACGACCAGCCACACUGGGACUGAGACACGGCCCAGACUCCUACGGGAGGCAGCAGUGGGGAGUUUUGGACAAUGGGCGAAAGCCUGAUCCAGCCAUGCCGCGUGCAGGAUGAAGGCCUUCGGGUUGUAAACUGCUUUUGUACGGAACGAAAAGGUUUGGCCUAAUAAGCUGAGCUCAUGACGGUACCGUAAGAAUAAGCACCGGCUAACUACGUGCCAGCCGCCGCCGUAA
Molecule: ribosomal RNA, 500 nt
Filed under: uncultured bacterium
Lineage: Bacteria
Description: partial 16S ribosomal RNA
Rfam family: Bacterial small subunit ribosomal RNA
Source: RNAcentral